GCGGUUAUUUCCCGGAUUAUUUGGGCUAAGGUCGGCUAGCGUUCGUCAAGUCGAUUGAAUGCCCGCUCAUCGGGAGGUCAUCGAACUGGCGAACUUGAGUGCAGAAGAGGAGAGGUGAUUCACGUGUAGCCGUGAAAUGCGUAGAGAUGUGCAGAACAUCAGUGGCGAAGGCGACUAUCUGGUCUGUAUCUGACGACUGAGGAUCGAAAGCGUGGGGAGCGAACAGGAUUAGAUACCCUGGUAGUCCACGCCGUAAACGAUGAGUGCUAAGUGUUAGGGGGUUUCGCGCUCUUUAGUGCGGCAGCUAACGCAUUAAGCACUCCGCUUGGGGAGUACGGUCGCAAGAUCGAAAUUCAAAGGAAUUGACGGGGGCCGCCACAAGCGGUGGAGCAUGUGGUUUAAUUCGAAGCAACGGGAAGAACUUUACCGGGUCUUGCCUUCCUAUGACAACCUUAGAGAUAGGGCUUUCCCUUCGGGGCCAGAGUGACAGGUGGUCCAUGGUUGUCUUCAGCUCGUGUCGUGAGAUGUUGGGUUAAUUCCCGCAACGAGCGCAACCCUUGAUUUUAGUUGCCAGCAUUUAGUUGGGCACUUUAAGGAGACUGCCGGUGACAAACCGGAGGAAGGUGGGGAUGACGUCAAAUUAUUCUGCACCUUUUGGCCUGGGGUUCCCACGUGGUACAAAGGACAGAUCAAAGGGGUGGGUGACCGCAAGGGUUGGCCAAUCCCCCAAAUCUCUUUUCAGGUCGGAUCGCAGUUUGGAAAUUGAAUGCGUGAAGCUGGGAUCGCUAGUAAUUCUGGAUCAGCAUGCCGCGGUGAAUACGUUGCCGGGCCUUGUACACCCCGCCCGUCCCACCACGAGAGUUUGGAACACCCGAAGUUGGAGAGGUAACCUUUAUGGAGCCAGCCUC
This 908-nucleotide ribosomal RNA is filed under the name Bacillus pumilus. RNAcentral describes it as "bacterial SSU rRNA". It matches the Rfam family "Bacterial small subunit ribosomal RNA", at positions 534 to 1456 of the family's 1533-position model. The record is from RNAcentral. Lineage: Bacteria; Bacillati; Bacillota; Bacilli; Caryophanales; Bacillaceae.